Molecule: long non-coding RNA, 1862 nt
Filed under: Haliotis rubra (blacklip abalone)
Lineage: Eukaryota; Metazoa; Mollusca; Gastropoda; Lepetellida; Haliotidae
Description: uncharacterized LOC124274769
Source: RNAcentral
CCAGCUUCAGUCUGGGCUAGUACAAGCAGCCACACAUACAGACGCAUGCAUGUCGCCAAAUGAGCGAAAUAUUCUCAAGUGCGACGCUAAACCCAAUUUCACCUCUCCUCACUUCUAUUUUAGGGUUAAAAGAUUUCUGAGCCAAGGCUACAAUCAGAAAUGAAAUGAAAAUAUUCUAUCUCUUAAAAAUAUCUCUCUCUUUUUAAAAAAUUUACCUAUGGCAACAGUUUUCUAUUUGAUGGUUUAUACAUUAUUUAUCCGUGGCAACAAUCAGAAAAGAAACUAAAAUAUUAUUUUUACAAUGUGUUUUUUUAGACUUCCCUGACAGGCCAUGUGUUCUAAAGGAAAGACAAAGGCGUAUGCAUAAAAAACUGUUCUAUCAUUUUGAGUGAAAAGUCAAUUUGACCUUUAAGGGCUGGGGGAGGAAAAAGUGUCAUGAUCGGAAAAUUACAAGUUAUUGUUUUUUAUGGUCUCACUAUAAUUUUAUUUAAAAUACUUUUCAUGUUUUCUGCAUUUUAUUGAAGGGUCAUGACAGAUCCUGUAAUCUUAGGUACUGCAAUUCAAAUUUGAAUUUGAAUCGGGGCGUUGGGGUAGCCUAGUGAUUAAAGCGUUCCCUCAUCACGCUUCGAUUCCCCACAUGGGUAUAUUGUGGGAAGCCCAUGUUCAUGUAUUUCAUAUUGCUGGAAUAUUGCUAAAAGCGGCGUAAAUCAAUACUCACUCGAGUUUGAUUCCCGAUUAACCCUGAAUGGUGGCACCACACUGAUUAUGUUUCAAGGUUUGUUAACGACAUACUCUUGUGGGAUUUACCAGAGUGGUAAACGUCCGAGCCCUGCGUCACUUUGGGUCCUGGUUCGACUUUGGCAAAAUUGUUGAUUGUUCCAGACCAAUUUUAUGUCUUGUUUUACGGAUCCGCCGGUCAUAUUUUUUCAAUAAUAAUAAUAAAUAAAAUAAAUCCAUUUUACCUGCUCAAAAAAUACAAUCCUCAUGUUUUUGUUGUAAAAAAAUGUAAACUUACCCCCAAAAAAUUUUUCAUUGUUUUUUGGCCCAUAUGCACUGCAUAAAUUGCUCAAAAUAAAAUACUUUAGUAUUCAAAAGGAAAAUAUGUUUGACCGGUGAUUUUUAUUUUUUUCCCUCCUGCCUUUAGGUUUUCUGAUGACAAAAAUCUGUAAAACAAGAAAUAAAAUUGGUCUGGCCUGAGAAAAAAAUAAUUAAUAAUUUUCCCACUCAAAAUUAAAAAAAAAUACUAAUAUUUUAUUGGCCCAAACUGUAAACUCUAGAUUGUUUUUUCCCCCAUAUACACUUCAUAAGUUGCCAGAAGUAAAAUACUUUUAGUAUUUACAAGAAUAUUUCUUUGACUGGUGAUUUUUUAAAAUAUUUCUUUCCCCUCCUACCUUUGUUUUUUCUGAGGAUAAAAAUCUGUAAAACAAGAAAAAAGAUUUGUCAGGCCUUGUUGUAAUUCAAACAUCUUAUCUCCAAGCCGGGUUCAGCUUUAUUAACCCUUGAAACAGACACCAAAUUUUUAGCCCCUUAAUUAUCUGUUUAUGAUCACGAGGGUGUGACCAACAUUCAGUUGUGUGUCCAACUGCAUGCAUUGAGAUUAAGGUAGUUCAAUCUUUGACAUUUUGCUCAAACUUCCAAGGGUUUGAGGAUGUGUUAUGUAUAAUUAGCAGAUGAUCAAAAUGCAAGUCAAACUGACAAUUUUGUCAUUCGUUUCUAUGGUUACUUGACUGGUGAUUCAUCUCAAUGGCGACUUGUUACUGAUGACAAGACAGUGAAAGCUUAUGACCGAUUUCUUUUUUGGCAUGUGUGCUUUACUUGUCUUAGCCUGUGCUUCAAAUGUGAAAUAAACAAAUUUACCAAUA